CACGUCAACAGCAGUUGGACGUGGGUUAGUCGAUCCUAAGAGAUGGGGAAGCUCCGUUUCAAAGCGCCUGAUUUUAUUGCAGGCCUACCAUCGAAAGGGAAUCCGGUUAAUAUUCCGGAACCUGGAUAUGGAUUCUUCACGGCAACGUAACUGAAUGUGGAGACGUCGGCGUGAGCCCUGGGAGGAGUUAUCUUUUCUUCUUAACAGCUUAUCACCCUGGAAUUGGUUUAUCCGGAGAUGGGGUUUUAUGGCUGGAAGAGGCCAGCACCUUUGCUGGCUCCGGUGCGCUUACGACGGCCCUUGAAAAUCCACAGGAAGGAAUAGUUUUCAUGCCAGGUCGUACUGAUAACCGCAGCAGGUCUCCAAGGUGAACAGCCUCUAGUUGAUAGAAUAAUGUAGAUAAGGGAAUUCGGCAAAAUAGAUCCGUAACUUCGGGAUAAGGAUUGGCUCUAAGGGUCGGGCAGUGAGGGCCUUGGUCAGACGCAGCGGGUGUGCUUGCGGACUGCUUGGUUGGGCUUCGGUCUGGCUAGGCGGACUGCUUGCGUGCCUUGUUGUAGACGGUCUUGGUAGGGAGCUCCGUGCUUCCGUCGCUUGCUGCGAUUAACGAUCAACUUAGAACUGGUACGGACAAGGGGAAUCUGACUGUCUAAUUAAAACAUAGC
This 662-nucleotide ribosomal RNA is filed under the name Zygosaccharomyces rouxii. Its description in RNAcentral is "eukaryotic LSU rRNA". It matches the Rfam family "Eukaryotic large subunit ribosomal RNA", at positions 1510 to 2157 of the family's 3401-position model. The record is from RNAcentral. Lineage: Eukaryota; Fungi; Ascomycota; Saccharomycetes; Saccharomycetales; Saccharomycetaceae.